GGCAAGCAGGGGCAAGGAGCCGCGGUAUAACGGAGGGGGAAAGAGUGGUCCGGAUUUAUUGGGCGUAAAGCGAGCGCAGGCGGUUUGGUAAGUCGGAUGUGAAAGCCCACGGCUCAACCGUGGAAGGUCAUUGGAAACUGGGGAACUUGAGUGCAGAAGAGGAGAGUGGAAUUCCAUGUGUAGCGGUGAAAUGCGUAGAUAUAUGGAGGAACACCAGUGGCGAAGGCGACUCUCUGGUCUGUAACUGACGCUGAGGCUCGAAAGCGUGGGGAGCAAACAGGAUUAGAUACCCGGGUCGUC
This 300-nucleotide ribosomal RNA is filed under the name uncultured Lactobacillus sp. RNAcentral's name for it is "bacterial SSU rRNA". It matches the Rfam family "Bacterial small subunit ribosomal RNA", at positions 495 to 795 of the family's 1533-position model. The record is from RNAcentral. Lineage: Bacteria; Bacillati; Bacillota; Bacilli; Lactobacillales; Lactobacillaceae.